CUUGUACUCUGGACAGGAUAUCAUCAUAUACUGUAAGUUCGUUAUAGAGACACUACAGUAUAGAUGAUGUACUAUCCAGGGUUUCAUCCUCCUUCUG
RNAcentral lists this microRNA precursor (97 nucleotides) under Lepisosteus oculatus (spotted gar). Its description in RNAcentral is "Danio rerio miR-144 stem-loop (ENSLOCG00000020335.1)". The stretch from base 6 to 84 matches the Rfam family "mir-144 microRNA precursor family". Lineage: Eukaryota; Metazoa; Chordata; Actinopteri; Semionotiformes; Lepisosteidae. The record is from RNAcentral.